Scleropages formosus (Asian bonytongue) is the source of this 294-nucleotide non-coding RNA. NCBI's taxonomy places the organism in Eukaryota, Metazoa, Chordata, Actinopteri, Osteoglossiformes, Osteoglossidae. The record is from the annotation of a RefSeq genome assembly.
AUGUUCCCUGUGUUUCUGCUGUUACUGCUGGCAGCUGCUUCCUGUGAGUAUUUUUUAAACUUUAAGUGGAGUGCCCAAGACUACGGAAUGCACUGGGUGAGACAAGCUCCACAGAAAGGCCUGGAAUGGAUUUCAUACAUCAGCGGACCUAGUGGGAGCAGCAAGUACUACUCAGAGUCUGUGAAGGGAAGAUUCUCCAUCUCCAGGGACAAUGACAGGAGCACCGUCACCUUGGAAAUGAAUAAUCUAAAAGCUGAAGACACAGCUAUGUUUCACUAUGCGAGACACUCUUAG